UAUGGCCACAUCACAUUGAAACACCCAUUUCCAUACAAUCACCAAAGUUAAGCAAUGUCAAGCCUGGUCAGUACUUAGAUGGAUGACUGCUUGGUAAUAAUAGGUGCUGUAGG
This is a non-coding RNA of Acanthosepion pharaonis, 113 nucleotides long. The record is from the annotation of a GenBank genome assembly. NCBI's taxonomy places the organism in Eukaryota, Metazoa, Mollusca, Cephalopoda, Sepiida, Sepiidae.